UGAUGUAACCCCAGAGAGGAACC
This 23-nucleotide non-coding RNA is filed under the name Mus musculus (house mouse). Lineage: Eukaryota; Metazoa; Chordata; Mammalia; Rodentia; Muridae. The record is from RNAcentral.